UCACAAACACACAGACUUAAAGUCUGUUUCUCUCUCUCCCUCGUGACCAUACACCGGAGCCGGAGACGAGGACCGAGCUCCGGUACCUUUCGUCUUCUCCGAUGAUCACACGACACCCCCACACCCUGAGCAUCCACCUCACCGCACAUCCACACCUCCCCUCUCCUGUCUCUUCGUCGAGUGGCGGUUGGCAGCGCCGCCUGAAGCGGCGGCGGUGGUGGCCACUGUCGCUGAUUUCCGGCGAAACACACCCCCCUUUUAGCGAUCCAGCAAAUGAUCACCACCACCACGGUCCGGUGGUGGUGCGGCGACGGUAACAAGCGGGAGAGAGAGAGAACGAGAGACGGCGGAGCACAGCAGUAGCGGCAGCGGUGGUAGGCAUCUCAGACCGACAGUCGACGUCUCGGACCGGCAGUCGGUGUCUCGGUCCGGCGGUCUGAGUCAAGGACCGGCGGUCCUUGCCAUUAUUCGACGGGGUCUGUUCGGAAGUCCUUGUUCGGGUCAGGUUAGUUCAAGUUAAAAGCUGGUUCUUGUCGGCUCAUGCUCAGAGUCGUUCCGGAUUUGGUGCUCGAGUCAGCUCGGUUCGUUCGGGUCAAAACUUGUUCAACACAGUAUUGUUCAAGGUCUGGGUUACUCAGUUUAAACUCAGAUACAGUGUUGGAGAUUAUUUCGGGAGUUUCGGGUCUCGUUUCUGGACAAAGUUGCUUUGGUUCAGAUUUCACUUUGGUUUCCGGUGCGGCUUGGAUCUCGGCUCAGAUUUCACAGUAAACAAAGUCAACAACGGUCGGGUUUGGUCAGCUUUGGUCAACCUGUGGUGCGGGUCGCGCGGUUCGGUUCAGUCAACGUGGGUCAGCGGUGGUUCGGGUUCGUGAAUCGGGUCGACUCGGUGCAACUCGGCUCGACCCGGUUAACUCAUUAAUUGACUCGGUCAAACUGAGUCAACUCAGCCGACCAACUCAGUUGACCCAGUCAACUCGGUCAACACGCGUUUCGGCAUAAUGAUUUGGAAUAUUGUAGAUUGCACACUAGCGAGUCUCGUCUCGGAAACGACAUCACGAAGUCGUAUUUAGCUAGCUUUGCACAAGGCGGUUCAGGUUGCAUUUCAAAGUUAUGGAACGGUUGAAAUAGGAGAGCCAUUGGAGAUUCGAGUACUUAGUGGGCGUUCAUUUUCUAGAAGUCUUAGCUUAUUUGCUUUCGCUGUGCAAUGAAGAUACCAGUCUAGUCACGCCAGCUCUGAUAAUUUCGGGGUGUGACACUAACAUUCACAUCUUUGAACAAAAAUAAACAUACACUAACCUUAAUUUGAAGGAGGAGAAGAGGUGGUGACGGUGGAGAUGAGGUGGUGGCCGUGGAGACGAAGUGGUGACGGUGGAGACUAGCAUACACAUAUACAUACACCAAGAAUCAAGAAAUUAACAACAUAUAUAAAAAAUAAACAAGAAAUUCAAUAUAAAAUUAACAAUACUAACCGAUUUGAAGUAGAAUUGGUAAAAAUGAAGAGAUAUAGCCGAUUUGGAGAAGAACCUGUGAGAGGAUAUGAAAGGUUUUGGGGAAAGUGGAAAAAGGAGGGAAGAAAUGGCACUGUUUUCUCUGUUUAUUCGACGGACCAAUAAGGGCGACAACCUUUCGCCGCUAUUGAUAUAAUACUGUCGCUGCUAUUAACCUGGAUAAACCAUAUCCGUUGAAUGAGGAUAAGAAACGUAUGGCUAGGGUUUUACUUGGGACACCAGGUGCGGAUAAGGGCAAUAGCGGCGACCAAUUGGAUGUCGCCGCUAAUAGUGUCGCCACUAUUGGUCCUUUUUCUUGUAGUGGAAAAGGAAAUUCACCGGAAGACCAAACCAGAUUCAUCAAAAUAAAAUCUGACGCGUCUAAACAUAGAUCCCAGGAGACCAUGAAUUCAACCCAUCAAUCAAGAACAAAAUAACAAUCGAACAAAGAACAAGAAGAGAGGGAUUAACCCUAAUACAUGUUAGGGGGGAUUUUCCAAUCCUAAGGAUCAUGGAUCCUCAAGUACUAUCAGGAUCACGGAUCCUCAAUUCUGUUUGAAUUAUGGAUCCUCAGAGGGUGUUGCAGGAUCAGGAUCCAGGAUCCUCAUUGUUAUCCUUACACUAACGGUUGUCUACCUUGUAUGUGAGCUUGUUUUGCAGGAGUAUAUUCAUGGACCAAGUCUUACCGAUAUUCUUUGAGAGUAUGCUCUUAAUAUUCCGCACGUGCUUGGCCCUUGUGAACGUUAUGGAGAUCGUGGGAAGCUUGCACAUUUAGCGGAUAGUUAGUUGUUUUAGUUAUUUCUAAAUUAAAAAGGGGAUAACAAGCUUGAGUUAGAACACUUAGCUAAUUUUAGCAAACACACACUUUCGAAACAGCUCUCAAUAGCUCUCAACAGUUCAUUUGGCGAUUUCAUACACAUUGCACUAUAGUGAUCCUUGUAACAAGCUUGUUAUCAUCCCGAGUUGUGACAAUCAUUUGUUUAAUUAUAGUUGGUGAUCGGUAGUUUCCUCGUAUAAA
Helianthus annuus (common sunflower) is the source of this 2505-nucleotide RNA transcript. RefSeq lists it as uncharacterized. Lineage: Eukaryota; Viridiplantae; Streptophyta; Magnoliopsida; Asterales; Asteraceae. The record is from RefSeq and is a predicted model, not a curated record. The transcript has 3 exons.